Molecule: long non-coding RNA, 1446 nt
Filed under: Strigops habroptila (Kakapo)
Lineage: Eukaryota; Metazoa; Chordata; Aves; Psittaciformes; Psittacidae
Description: lncRNA (ENSSHBG00005012813.1)
Source: RNAcentral
UUUUGCAAGUGAUUUUAUUUUAAAACUGGAACUCGAGUUCUCCGUUUGUUUAACAAGUCCCUUUUUGCUUUUUUAAAUAAAAUUAAUUUAUUCUACAGAACAGUAAACUCUUCCAGACUCUUCCCUAUUUACAAAUGAACAGUUUUGCUUGCAGAUCAUUGCUUCCCCCUCCUUUUCCUAUCCUGUGACGCAGAAAGAGAAAAACCAGCCACCAGCUGAAGGGCUGUAAGGCAGUGCUCCCAGCCACAACCACCUGGCCCCUUGGGACCUCAGUGAAGAACAAGAGCGACCAUGUCUGUGCUGCAUUCAGAGGUCCCCCCUCAUUCACCAUGUGUGUGAAGGAAGCAGGUCCAUGUUAAGCCCAUCAACCAAGAGCAUUUGGCCUCCCCAUGCUGCAUGGGCUCCUCCAAGCUGGGUUUAGCUGUGCUAAGAAAGAUGAAAUAUCCCUGCCAGAGGAAACUGCCCUCUGAAGGGCCAUGCAUGUAGGGAGAAAGUGGCAUUUGCUGCAGGAAUGAGAUCUACCAGCCCUCAACACACACACACCCAUGGGCCAGAAAGGCAGCUCUCACAUUGCAGGAGGUGGCAAGAAGCCUUGGAGAUGCCUGCCCUGCCCUCUUGAACUGGGAGAGACAAGUGACUGUAGUGCUGGGGACAUGCUUUACUAACUCAGGAAAGAAGGCACCUAUUAAAAAAACAUACUGACCCAGCCCAAAACUCCAGGCAAAUUCAAGGGGUUUGAGUGAGGUUGUGGCUUGGCUCGUACCUCUCUUUGCACUAAGUGAUAGCCUUUACCUGGAGACCUUUCCAGACACUUCCAAGUCACCUCACUCAGGUCCUGCUAGCACUGUCACCCAGGCCUGGCAGCCACAUGAGGAGCCAGGAUGAUGGGUAAGACAAGCUGUGUGAGGCAAACCAAGAGGGAAUGUGCAAGCAGUGUGUCUGCAAGCAAAGCUGCCCCGUCAGAGGGUCUCCCACCCCACACGAGGCACACAAUCCUGUAAAACCACCCCAACGCCACAGCAGGUUUCUGCUCUACGCUCUUUUCCAGGGCUCACCUCUAGCAGGGGACCUCCUUUUUCUGCUAUAGAUGCAUGUGGCUGUACUGGAGGAGCAGAAAGCCACCAAGAAGCAUCAACUGGUCCAGUGCUGCUGUAAUCAUCACUGGCAGUGUUUUACAUCUGCCAAGGAGGGACUUCAGCCAUGGGCAAGGGCAAUCCUGUUGGCUGGCUGGCUCCAGGCCCAUUCCUUUUGCUUUUCCUGGGCAUUUCUAUCUCUCCAAGAAGAACCCCAACCUUCAACAACAUCUCACUGCAGAUGUGUAGUGUUUUCAUUCGAGGAGCCCAGCCUGCAGGACAAGGCAGAAGGUUGAACUGAUGCCCUUGUAGAGAGCUUAGGUUUUGAAAAGCAAAGAAGAGAGGGAGGAAGAAAGGAAAAAAGAAGAAAGGU